RNAcentral lists this non-coding RNA (941 nucleotides) under Drosophila sechellia. Its description in RNAcentral is "Eukaryotic small subunit ribosomal RNA". It matches the Rfam family "Eukaryotic small subunit ribosomal RNA", at positions 1 to 865 of the family's 1831-position model. The record is from Rfam by way of RNAcentral. Lineage: Eukaryota; Metazoa; Arthropoda; Insecta; Diptera; Drosophilidae.
AUUCUGGGUUGAUCCUGCCAGUAGUUAUAUGCUUGUCUCAAAGAUUAAGCCAUGCAUGUCUAAGUACACACGAAUUAAAAGUGAAACCGCAAAAGGCUCAUUAUAUCAGUUAUGGGUCCUUAGAUCGUUAACAGUUACUUGGAUAACUGUGGUAAUUCUAGAGCUAAUACAUGCAAUUAAAACAUGAACCUUAUGGGACAUGUGCUUUUAUUAGGCUAAAACCAAGCGAUCGCAAGAUCGUUAUAUUGGUUGAACUCUAGAUAACAUGCAGAUCGUAUGGUCUUGUACCGACGACAGAUCUUUCAAAUGUCUGCCCUAUCAACUUUUGAUGGUAGUAUCUAGGACUACCAUGGUUGCAACGGGUAACGGGGAAUCAGGGUUCGAUUCCGGAGAGGGAGCCUGAGAAACGGCUACCACAUCUAAGGAAGGCAGCAGGCGCGUAAAUUACCCACUCCCAGCUCGGGGAGGUAGUGACGAAAAAUAACAAUACAGGACUCAUAUCCGAGGCGCUGUAAUUGGAAUGAGUACACUUUAAAUCCUUUAACAAGGACCAAUUGGAGGGCAAGUCUGGUGCCAGCAGCCGCGGUAAUUCCAGCUCCAAUAGCGUAUAUUACAGUUGUCGCGGUUCAAUCGUUAGUAGUUGAACUUGUGCUUCAUACGGCUAGUACAACUUACAAUUGUGGUUAGUACUAUGCCUUUAUGUAUGUAAGCGUAUUUCCGGUGGAGUUCUUAUAUGUGAUUAAAUACUUGUAUUUUUUCCAUAUGUUCCUCCUAUUUAAAAACCUGCCCUAGUGCUCUUAAGCGAGUGUUAUAGUGGGCCGGUAAUAUUACUCAGAACAAAUUAGAGCGCUUAAAGCAGGCUUCAAAUGCCUGAAUAUUCCGUGCAUGGGAUAAUGAAAUAAGCCUCUGUUCUGCUUUCAUAGUUCCGGAUCAAGAGGUGA